Microcebus murinus (gray mouse lemur) is the source of this 986-nucleotide long non-coding RNA. RefSeq lists it as uncharacterized. NCBI's taxonomy places the organism in Eukaryota, Metazoa, Chordata, Mammalia, Primates, Cheirogaleidae. The record is from RefSeq and is a predicted model, not a curated record.
GGGAAAAAGAAGGAACAAAGGAGAGACAGAGGAGACUCCUAGGAGCAGAGGCCAUGCUUACAGAGAGCAGGGUACCUGGAGACGAUUUCAACUGAAGUAAUGAAGGCAGUGUCGUGCUGUCGAGAGAAAGGUGGAUCCCAACAACAGGAAACUACCUAAAUCACCGACCAGUUCUGGUGCUGCCCGCGCGGUGCUGCCUCGCCCGCCGCCGCCGCCGCCACCGCCACCGCCGCCGCCGCCGCCAAGGAGAGAACCCUGCGAUCGCGCCCGGCCCAGCCCCUCGGCAACCUGCGCCCGCCGCUGCAACUGAUACCCCAGGCUGCCGCAAAUGCGUCACGGAGGGAGAAGCCACCGGCCCCAGUAAGACAAAGUCAAGCCCUUUUGCCAACCUGUAUGCCCAUGCCCGUAAGCCCUUCUCUUGGCCAAGGAAGAAAGGAGGAGAGAAAAAAAGACACCCAGGGGCCUGUAUCCCCUGAUUAAACACAGCCCAGCACUCCAGGCUGGCGUGCCCAGUGGCGGCUCCUUGCACCAUUGACCUCAGGCCAGACACCUCAGCGCCGACAAUGGAACCUCCGCUUUCCGGCUAGGUUUACCCCUGGCUGGGCAGGAAACCAGCUCCGCGGAGAACGGGGCCAUUUCAAGCAGUGGGACCCCAAAACAGCAAACCCAGCCCAGUUACGACUUGACACUUCGGACAAUAUCGAUCUCUAUAGAAUUUUACCAUGAUAUGGCUUUUUCCCCCAGAAAACAACAAAUAAACCAGCACCAAGCAAACAAAGAAACAAAAAGUCAGAACAAACCAGCCCUGCACAGAUGUAAUGGCCCAGGAGAUGGCGAGUGCGGGAGGGAGGCAUAGGGCUCCGGCACAGGUGCGAGUUCCUGGGCAGAGGCUGAAGACAGAGGGAGGGAACCAGAGCUCUGGAAGCAAAAAAAUAAAAAUAAAAAUAAAAGGCGUCGCCUGGAGAUUCAUCAGGAAAAAUUAAAGU